This 254-nucleotide ribosomal RNA is filed under the name uncultured bacterium. RNAcentral's name for it is "partial 16S ribosomal RNA". It matches the Rfam family "Bacterial small subunit ribosomal RNA", at positions 1247 to 1500 of the family's 1533-position model. The record is from RNAcentral.
AGGCGAAGCCGCGAGGCGGAGCAAAGCCCAAAAAUAACGUCCCAGUUCGGACUGUAGUCUGCAACCCGACUACACGAAGCCGGAAUCGCUAGUAAUCGCAGAUCAGAAUGCUGCGGUGAAUACGUUCCCGGGUCUUGUACACACCGCCCGUCACACCAUGGGAGUCGGAAAUGCCCGAAGUCAGUGGCCCAACCGCAAGGAGGGAGCUGCCGAAGGCAGGUCCGGUGACUGGGGUGAAGUCGUAACAAGGUAAC